GCGCGAGAGCAGGAGAGAUUAAGUUUUUGUGUGUGUGUCCCUGUGUGCGUGUGUCAUUUUAAGGUGGCUCGGGAGCGGCCCGGAGGAGCUGGCGGCGGCCCGAGGAGCGAGGGACCGAGCCGGGAGCCAUGCUGCGCUGAGGGGGGGCCGCACCGCCGCCGCCACCGCCACCGCCACCGCCGCCGGGUGGGGUGGGAGGGGCGGGAGCCGCUGCCGCCGCCGCCGCCGCCGCCUCCCGGGUGGGCGCCCUUCGCCGUGGACGCCGGCGGCCCGGGACGAGGGUUUCAUCGCCUUAAAUGGUUUUGAACCAAUGAAGCUAUAUUCCCUUAAAAAGACGGACAGCACUUCGUGUGAACUAUAGAGUUUGUGGACAGAUAAAUAUUGGGUUCAUAGUGGCGUAAUGCGCGCAGACUCCUGCGAGUUCCCCUAAGUUCUUAGAGGACUGCUUUGCCUUUUGAAUCAGAGAGUUGCAAAGUUCGAUAAAGAAUGGCCCUUGUGGAUAAGCACAAAGUCAAGCGACAGCGAUUGGACAGAAUUUGUGAAGGUAAGAGCCAGCGUGAUUGGCGGUUUUUAAUGAAAGCUGUGUAGUCCCGCCCUCCACCCUAAACAGUCCCUGCGAGGCUUCUGCCACGCCCUCCCUCCAGCGCCCGUCACCGUCACCGUAUGACGCCCUCCACGGUGCCCCGUGCUUCUGGGGUCCGAAGGCCUUGUCCUCCCAGGGGACCAGGCUUCGGGGUGGGCCAGGAGGAGAGUGGAGAAGGGAAUAAGUGCUGAGACCCACUGCUGCCACACACACCUGAGAUGAUUUUGCAUAUUAAAGGCAUUCUUAUUACGACCAUCUUGUUUCUCUUCCUGAAGCUUCCGGACUUUAUCUGCUUCGAAUUAUGAUAUUUACAACAAUGAAUUCUGAGACAUUCCUGAAGAGCCCAGCAUUACCCCUUGUGAUGUGUACAGGUCCCUGGUAUCUUUGAAAAUGUCUGGAAGUGUUUUAUUCAUGAAAGGAAAGAUAAACAUAAUUAAAAUCUAAUGGAAACCUGGGGCCA
RNAcentral lists this long non-coding RNA (1043 nucleotides) under Dasypus novemcinctus (nine-banded armadillo). RNAcentral's name for it is "lncRNA (ENSDNOG00000052851.1)". The record is from RNAcentral. Lineage: Eukaryota; Metazoa; Chordata; Mammalia; Cingulata; Dasypodidae.